Molecule: ribosomal RNA, 1314 nt
Filed under: Bradysia hilariformis
Lineage: Eukaryota; Metazoa; Arthropoda; Insecta; Diptera; Sciaridae
Description: eukaryotic LSU rRNA
Rfam family: Eukaryotic large subunit ribosomal RNA
Source: RNAcentral
GUGUGCGAGUCAUUGGGUAUAUUGUUGAAACCUAAGGGCGCAAUUAAAAUAACUAUUUUAUGGGAUUACAAGUGAAUUAAAUUUCAUUUCUUCAUCCCGGGGCGUUCUAUACGAACAUGGUUCAAGCAAUUGAAUCCUCUGUUCAAGAGCGUACCUUGAGCAUACAUGCUGUGACCCGAAAGAUGGUGAACUAUACCUGAUCAGAUCGAAGCCAGGAGAAAUUCUGGUGGAGGAUCGAAACAGUUCUGACGUGCAAAUCGAUUGUCAGAAUUGGGUAUAGGGGCGAAAGACCAAUCGAACCAUCUAGUAGCUGGUUCCCUCCGAAGUUUCCCUCAGGAUAGCUGGCGCAAAGAAUUAUAUUGUAUAUAAUCUUAUCUGGUAAAGCGAAUGAUUAGAGGCCUUGGGGCCGAAACGACCUCAACCUAUUCUCAAACUUUAAAUGGGUAAGAACCUCAUCUUUCUUGAUCUGAAGAUAUUGGGGUUUAGAUAUAUUGUGCCCAGUGGGCCACUUUUGGUAAGCAGAACUGGCGCUGUGGGAUGAACCAAACAUGAUGUUACGGCGCCUAAAUUAAUGACUCAUAUUGAUACCAUGAAAGGCGUUGGUUGCUUAAAACAGCAGGACGGUGGACAUGGAAGUCGUAAUCCGCUAAGGAGUGUGUAACAACUCACCUGCCGAAGCAACUAGCCCUUAAAAUGGAUGGCGCUCAAGUCAUAUGCCUAUACAUCAUCGCUAGAAUAAAAAUUGUUGGCCAUUCGGUCAUCAUUGUGAAAUUCUAGUGAGUAGGAGGGUACAAUGGUGUGCGCAGAAGUGUUUGGCGUGAGCCUGCAUGAAGCCGCCAUUGGCACAGAUCUUGGUGGUAGUAGCAAAUAAUCGAAUGAGAUCUUGGAGGACUGAAGUGGAGAAGGGUUUCGUGUGAACAGUGGUUGAUCACGAGUUAGUCGGUCCUAAGCUUUAUGCGAAAGCUGUUUAAUUUAUGUUACACACAAAAUUUUUGUUGUACAUAAUUCAAUAAAAGCGAAAGGGAAUACGGUUCCAAUUCCGUAACCUGUUGAGUAUACGUUUGUUUAUUAAAAAUGGGUCUUAUUACACUCAUCCUGGCAACAGGAACGACCAUAGAGAAGCCUUCGAGAGAUACUGGAAGAGUUUUCUUUUCUGCUAAACAAGCGUACCACCAUGGAAGUCUUUUAUAGAGAGAUAUGGUGGAUGGCUUGGAAGAGCAUGACAUUUACUGUUGUGUCAGUAUUUUCUCCUUGGACCUUGAAAAUCUAUGGUGGGGCCACGCAAACUUCUCAACAGACCGUACCGAUAUCCGC